This 1296-nucleotide ribosomal RNA is filed under the name metagenome. RNAcentral describes it as "bacterial SSU rRNA". It matches the Rfam family "Bacterial small subunit ribosomal RNA", at positions 189 to 1465 of the family's 1533-position model. The record is from RNAcentral.
AUUCUGUGAGCAGGAAAGCAGGGGAUCGCAAGACCUUGCGCUGAUUGAGCGGCCGAUAUCAGAUUAGCUAGUUGGUGAGGUAAAAGCUCACCAAGGCGACGAUCUGUAGCGGGUCUGAGAGGAUGAUCCGCCACACUGGAACUGAGACACGGUCCAGACUCCUACGGGAGGCAGCAGUGGGGAAUUUUGGACAAUGGGGGCAACCCUGAUCCAGCCAUGCCGCGUGAGUGAAGAAGGCCUUCGGGUUGUAAAGCUCUUUCAGCCGGGAAGGAAAUGCAUGGGUUAAUACCCUGUGCAGAUGACGGUACCGGAAUAAGAAGCACCGGCUAACUACGUGCCAGCAGCCGCGGUAAUACGUAGGGUGCGAGCGUUAAUCGGAAUUACUGGGCGUAAAGCGUGCGCAGGCGGUUUUGUAAGACAGGCGUGAAAUCCCCGGGCUUAACCUGGGAACUGCGUUUGUGACUGCAAGGCUAGAGUACGGCAGAGGGGGGUGGAAUUCCACGUGUAGCAGUGUAAUGCGUAGAGAUGUGGAGGAACACCAAUGGCGAAGGCAGCCCCCUGGGUCGAUACUGACGCUCAUGCACGAAAGCGUGGGUAGCAAACAGGAUUAGAUACCCUGGUAGUCCACGCCCUAAACGAUGUCAACUAGGUGUUGGGAGGGUAAAACCUUUUAGUACCUUAGCUAACGCGAGAAGUUGACCGCCUGGGGAGUACGGCCGCAAGGUUAAAACUCAAAGGAAUUGACGGGGACCCGCACAAGCGGUGGAUGAUGUGGAUUAAUUCGAUGCAACGCGAAAAACCUUACCUACCCUUGACAUGUCAGGAACUUUCCAGAGAUGGAUUGGUGCCCGAAAGGGAACCUGAACACAGGUGCUGCAUGGCUGUCGUCAGCUCGUGUCGUGAGAUGUUGGGUUAAGUCCCGCAACGAGCGCAACCCUUGUCGUUAAUUGCCAUCAUUCAGUUGGGCACUUUAACGAGACUGCCGGUGACAAACCGGAGGAAGGUGGGGAUGACGUCAAGUCCUCAUGGCCCUUAUGGGUAGGGCUUCACACGUCAUACAAUGGUCGGUACAAAGGGUCGCCAACCCGCGAGGGGGAGCCAAUCCCAUAAGGCCGAUCGUAGUCCGGAUUGUAGGCUGCAACUCGCCUGCAUGAAGUCGGAAUCGCUAGUAAUCGUAGAUCAGCAUGUCACGGUGAAUACGUUCCCGGGUCUUGUACACACCGCCCGUCACACCAUGGGAGCGGGUUCCGCCAGAAGUAGGUAGCCUAACCGCAAGGGGGGCGCUUACCACGGCGG